CGGUAGAAUUCUUAGUGGCGACGGGUGAGUAACGCGUAGGCAACCUGCCCUUUAGACGGGGACAACAUUCCGAAAGGAGUGCUAAUACCGGAUGUGAUCAUCUUGCCGAUGGCAGGAUGAAGAAAGAUGGCCUCUACAAGUAAGCUAUCGCUAAAGGAUGGGCCUGCGUCUGAUUAGCUAGUUGGUAGUGUAACGGACUACCAAGGCGAUGAUCAGUAGCCGGUCUGAGAGGAUGAACGGCCACAUUGGGACUGAGACACGGCCCAAACUCCUACGGGAGGCAGCAGUGGGGAAUCUUCCGCAAUGGACGAAAGUCUGACGGAGCAACGCCGCGUGAGUGAUGAAGGAUUUCGGUCUGUAAAGCUCUGUUGUUUAUGACGAACGUGCAGUGUGUGAACAAUGCAUUGCAAUGACGGUAGUAAACGAGGAAGCCACGGCUAACUACGUGCCAGCAGCCGCGGUAAUACGUAGGUGGCGAGCGUUGUCCGGAAUUAUUGGGCGUAAAGAGCAUGUAGGCGGCUUAAUAAGUCGAGCGUG
RNAcentral lists this ribosomal RNA (537 nucleotides) under uncultured bacterium. Its description in RNAcentral is "bacterial SSU rRNA". It matches the Rfam family "Bacterial small subunit ribosomal RNA", at positions 81 to 596 of the family's 1533-position model. The record is from RNAcentral.